UACGAAGGGGGCUAGCGUUGUUCGGAUUUACUGGGCGUAAAGCGCACGUAGGCGGAUUGGUCAGUUAGGGGUGAAAUCCCGGAGCUCAACUCCGGAACUGCCAUUGAAACUGUUUAGCUUGAGGACGAGAGAGGUGAGUGGAAUUCCCAGUGUAGAGGUGAAAUUCGUAGAUAUUGGGAAGAACACCGGUGGCGAAGGCGGCUCACUGGCUCGUAUCUGACGCUCAGGCGCGACAGCGUGGGGAUCAAACAGG
RNAcentral lists this ribosomal RNA (253 nucleotides) under uncultured bacterium. RNAcentral's name for it is "partial 16S ribosomal RNA". It matches the Rfam family "Bacterial small subunit ribosomal RNA", at positions 524 to 776 of the family's 1533-position model. The record is from RNAcentral.